UACGUAGGUCCCGAGCGUUGUCCGGAUUUAUUGGGCGUAAAGCGAGCGCAGGUGGUUUAUUAAGUCUGGUGUAAAAGGCAGUGGCUCAACCAUUGUAUGCAUUGGAAACUGGUAGACUUGAGUGCAGGAGAGGAGAGUGGAAUUCCAUGUGUAGCGGUGAAAUGCGUAGAUAUUAGGAGGAACACCAGUUGCGAAGGCGGCUCUCUGGACUGUAACUGACACUGAGGCACGAAAGCGUGGGGAGCAAACAGG
Molecule: ribosomal RNA, 252 nt
Filed under: uncultured bacterium
Lineage: Bacteria
Description: partial 16S ribosomal RNA
Rfam family: Bacterial small subunit ribosomal RNA
Source: RNAcentral